ACUUGACCUCAAAUCGAGUAGGACUACCCGCUGAACUUUAAGCAUAUCAAUAAGCGGAGGAAAAGAAACUAACAAGGAUUCCCCUAGUAACGGCGAGUGAAGAGGGAAGAGCUCAAAUUUUGAAUCUGGCACCUUUGGUGUCCGAAUUGUAAUCUAGAGAAGUGUUUUCCGUGGCGGACCGUGCAUAAGUCUCCUGGAAUGGAGCGUCAUAGAGGGUGAGAAUCCCGUAUAUGGCAUGGACUCCCGUUGCUCUGUGAUACACUCUCGACGAGUCGAGUUGUUUGGGAAUGCAGCUCUAAAUGGGUGGUAAAUGCCAUCUAAAGCUAAAUAUUGGCGAGAGACCGAUAGCGAACAAGUACCGUGAGGGAAAGAUGAAAAGCACUUUGGAAAGAGAGUGAAACAGUACGUGAAAUUGUUGAAAGGGAAACGCUUGAAGUCAGUCGCGCCGUUCGGGAUUCAGCCUUGCUUCUGCUCGGUUUACUUCCCGUUGGGUGGGUCAACAUCAGUUUCGGUCGGAGGAGAAAGACUUGGGGAAGGUAGCAGCAUUCGUGCUGUGUUAUAGCYCCCUUGUUGUAUACUUCGAUUGGGACUGAGGAUCGCAGCACGCCUUUGGCCGGGGUUCGCCCACGUACGUGCUUAGGAUGUUGGCAUAAUGGCUUUAAGCGACCCGUCUUGAAACACGG
RNAcentral lists this ribosomal RNA (683 nucleotides) under uncultured endomycorrhiza of Neottia nidus-avis. RNAcentral's name for it is "eukaryotic LSU rRNA". It matches the Rfam family "Eukaryotic large subunit ribosomal RNA", at positions 1 to 664 of the family's 3401-position model. Lineage: Eukaryota; Fungi; Basidiomycota; Agaricomycetes; Sebacinales; Sebacinaceae. The record is from RNAcentral.